AUGAAAUUUUCAUAUACGACUCUUAGAGGGGGACUCGGGUUAGUUACCUAUCUCAAUAAAGUAUAUGAUUGGUUUGAGGAACGUCUUGAGAUUCAGGCAAUUGCAGAUGAUAUAACUAGUAAAUAUGUUCCUCCCCAUGUCAACAUAUUUUAUUGUUUAGGGGGAAUUACACUUACUUGUUUUCUAGUACAAGUCGCUACCGGUUUUGCUAUGACUUUUUACUACCGACCAACCGUUACAGAGGCUUUUUCCUCGGUUCAAUACAUAAUGACCGAGGCCAACUUUGGUUGGUUAAUCCGAUCAGUUCAUCGAUGGUCAGCAAGUAUGAUGGUUUUAAUGAUGAUCCUGCAUGUAUUUCGUGUGUAUCUCACAGGGGGAUUUAAAAAAACCCGUGAAUUAACUUGGGUCACAGGUGUGGUUUUGGCUGUUUUGACUGCAUCAUUUGGUGUAACUGGUUAUUCUUUGCCUUGGGAUCAAAUUGGCUAUUGGGCAGUCAAAAUUGUGACAGGUGUACCUGACGCCAUUCCGGUAAUAGGAUCGCCUUUAGUGGAGUUAUUACGCGGAAGUGCUAGUGUGGGCCAAUCCACUUUGACUUGUUUUUAUAGUUUACAUACCUUUGUACUGCCUCUGCUUACUGCCGUAUUUAUGUUAAUGCACUUUCCAAUGAUACGUAAGCAAGGUAUUUCGGGUCCUUUAUAG
This 699-nucleotide ribosomal RNA is filed under the name Triticum aestivum (bread wheat). RNAcentral describes it as "partial small subunit ribosomal RNA". Lineage: Eukaryota; Viridiplantae; Streptophyta; Magnoliopsida; Poales; Poaceae. The record is from RNAcentral.